This 303-nucleotide ribosomal RNA is filed under the name uncultured bacterium. RNAcentral's name for it is "partial 16S ribosomal RNA". It matches the Rfam family "Bacterial small subunit ribosomal RNA", at positions 507 to 807 of the family's 1533-position model. The record is from RNAcentral.
AGCAGUCGCCGCGAUAAUACGUAGGGUGCGAGCGUUAAUCGGAAUUACUGGGCGUAAAGCGUGCGCAGGCGGUUAUAUAAGUCAGAUGUGAAAUCCCCGAGCUCAACCUGGGAACUGCAUUUGAGACUGUAUGGCUAGAGUGUGUCAGAGGGGGGUAGAAUUCCACGUGUAGCAGUGAAAUGCGUAGAUAUGUGGAGGAAUACCGAUGGCGAAGGCAGCCCCCUGGGAUAACACUGACGCUCAUGCGCGAAAGCGUGGGGAGCAAACAGGAUUAGAUACCCCAGUAGUCCCUGUCUCUUAUAC